Molecule: ribosomal RNA, 463 nt
Filed under: uncultured bacterium
Lineage: Bacteria
Description: partial 16S ribosomal RNA
Rfam family: Bacterial small subunit ribosomal RNA
Source: RNAcentral
GAUGAACGCUGACAGAAUGCUUAACACAUGCAAGUCGAUGGGGAAGUGGUGCUUGCACCAUGGCAACCAUGGCGGACGGGUGAGUAACGCGUAAGGGACUUACCUGCAGGACUGGGAUAACAGGGGGAAACUCCUGACAAGACCGGAUAAUGUCAUGGAGCUGCAUGGCUUUAUGAUGAAAGGAGACGCCUGCGGAGAGCCUUGCGUCCUAUUAGCUAGUUGGUGAGGUAAUGGCUCACCAAGGCGAAGAUAGGUGGCCGGCCUGAGAGGGUGGACGGCCACAAGGGGACUGAGAUACGGCCCUUACUCCUACGGGAGGCAGCAGUGGGGAAUAUUGGACAAUGGGGGCAACCCUGAUCCAGCAAUUCUGUGUGCACGAAGAAGGUUUUCGGAUUGUAAAGUGCUUUCAGCAGGGAAGAAGUAAGUGACGGUACCUGCAGAAGAAGCGACGGCUAAAUACGUG